RNAcentral lists this ribosomal RNA (460 nucleotides) under uncultured bacterium. RNAcentral describes it as "partial 16S ribosomal RNA". It matches the Rfam family "Bacterial small subunit ribosomal RNA", at positions 338 to 795 of the family's 1533-position model. The record is from RNAcentral.
CCUACGGGAGGCUGCAGUGAGGAAUAUUGGUCAAUGGGCGCAAGCCUGAACCAGCCACGUAGCGUGAAGGAUGACUGCCCUACGGGUUGUAAACUUCUUUUAUAAAGGAAUAAAGUGAGGCACGUGUGCCUUUUUGCAUUUACUUUAUCAAUAAGGAUCGGCGAACUCAGUGCCAGCAGCCGCGGUAAUACGGAGGAUCCGAGCGUUAUCCGGAUUUAUUGGGUUUAAAGGGAGCGUAGAUGGGUUGUUAAGUCAGUUGUGAAAGUUUGCGGCUCAACCGUAAAAUUGCAAUUGAUACUGGCAGUCUUGAGUACAGUUGAGGUAGGCGGAAUUCGUGGUGUAGCGGUGAAAUGCGUAGAUAUCACGAAGAACUCCGAUUGCGAAGGCAGCUUACUAAACUGCCACUGACAUUGAUGCUCGAAAGUGUGGGUAUCAAACAGGAUUAGAUACCCGGGUAGUC